RNAcentral lists this microRNA precursor (70 nucleotides) under Pelobates cultripes (western spadefoot toad). The record is from RNAcentral. Lineage: Eukaryota; Metazoa; Chordata; Amphibia; Anura; Pelobatidae.
CUCUGUGUCAUUUUACACAGCGUGGGAAAGUUCUUUUGGAUUUUCCCACGCUGUGUAAAAUGUCACAGAG